GACGAACGCUGGCGGCGUGCCUAAUACAUGCAAGUAGAACGCUGAAGGAGGAGCUUGCUUCUCUGGAUGAGUUGCGAACGGGUGAGUAACGCGUAGGUAACCUGCCUGGUAGCGGGGGAUAACUAUUGGAAACGAUAGCUAAUACCGCAUAAGAGUAGAUGUUGCAUGACAUUUGCUUAAAAGGUGCAAUUGCAUCACUACCAGAUGGACCUGCGUUGUAUUAGCUAGUUGGUGAGGUAACGGCUCACCAAGGCAACGAUACAUAGCCGACCUGAGAGGGGGCUCGGCCACACUGGGACUGCGACACGGCCCAGACUCCUACGGGAGGCAGCAGUAGGGAAUCUUCGGCAAUGGACGGAAGUCUGACCGAGCAACGCCGCGUGAGUGAAGAAGGGUUUCGGAUCGUAAAGCUCUGUUGUAAGAGAAGAACGAGUGUGAGAGUGGAAAGUUCACACUGUGACGGUAUCUUACCAGAAAGGGACGGCUAACUACGUG
Molecule: ribosomal RNA, 495 nt
Filed under: uncultured bacterium
Lineage: Bacteria
Description: partial 16S ribosomal RNA
Rfam family: Bacterial small subunit ribosomal RNA
Source: RNAcentral